Long non-coding RNA from Acinonyx jubatus (cheetah), 1717 nucleotides. RefSeq lists it as uncharacterized. The record is from RefSeq and is a predicted model, not a curated record. The transcript is spliced from 2 exons. NCBI's taxonomy places the organism in Eukaryota, Metazoa, Chordata, Mammalia, Carnivora, Felidae.
CCCCGCGGACUGUCGGACACGUGACCGCCGCCGCCGCCUUCUUGGUUUAUCUGUGGCGGGAGAGAGCUGGGGACCUAGACCGGGGACCGGAAUUGGGGACGGCGGAGCUCCGAGGCUUCCCGCCGGUGCCGGCCUCCGCCCGCGUCCUGUGCCGACGGGCCGGCCAUCCGCCUGCUGGGCCUUCGGAGUGAGCUGGGCGGCCUCGGUGCCCUCGCCUGUGAGAUGGUCCCAGGGUUGUCCAGGGAACAGCGUUGCCGCAGGCCUAUGGGAGGCAGCGGGGACGUGCACGGCCGUGUGAAGCAGGGCGAUGGCCUGAAGGACCAACCGGGAGUCCCGAAAAGCUGACCGUGGGUGAGGUUGUUGAGCAGAGCAGAGCCCCCGCCCUCGGCUGACUUCCGCCAAGGGUUGUGUGACGGGCCCCUUGGCUUUCGUUGCAGACGGUUGAGCACGAUACGGCUGGCCCGUGGGUGACCGGUCACCGCGUGUUACUCAGCGCCCGGACACCAGCCAGGUCGGGAGCCGUGCCACCUUCCGUGAUGGACACACUGGCUACUCUGCGGAAGCGCGUCACCGAAGCCGGGAGUCGACCGACAGAGGUGAGAAAGUGGCAAGGACGGGAAGUGGGGACACUGGAGGCAAAUCCAGGUGCAGCAGCGACAGGGCCAGAAGAAAGAGCUGCGGCCAGAGGGGCCUGGUGAGGCCGACGUGAUGAGCAGGACGAUGUCCCCCGGAAGUGACGCUGGCCACGCCCCCACGCCGACAGAGCCCUCGACACGUUUCGCGUCGCCCCGAGUGCGAGUGCGAAGGCCGCGCUGGAAGCUCAUCGCGACGCGGAACAGACAGCGGCAACCGACAGAGGUCCAGAAAGGAUGCUCGCGGCACGUCCUAAGUCACAGCGGAAGAGGCGAACACUGUUCAUACUGCUCCUGGUAAGUAUCUCCUUUAAGUCGUGGUUAAAUACACAUAGUUUAUUUAUUUACUUUCUAUUUUUUUAAUGUUUUAUUUUUUUGAGAGGCAGAAUGAGAGUGCGAGCAGGGAGGGGCAGACAGAGAAAGAGACACAGAAUCCGAAGCAGGCUCCAGGCUCCCAGCCGUCAGCACAGAGACCGAUGCGGGGCUCGAAGCCCCAAACGCAAGGUCAUGACCUGAGCCGAAGUCAGAGCCACCCAGGCGCCCCAAAUACACAUAGUUUAAAAUCUACGACCUGACCACUUCCAAGUGCAUGGUUGUGUGACAUCAGGUGCUGUACAAGCAGGGACGGCUCCGCGAACUUGUGUGUGGACACCAUUGCAGAGAUGCUCAUCUCCUCGAGGCCGUUCUGAUUUGAGUAUCUGUGCUGCUCUCGAACAAAGAAAGAAGCUCGUUCAUUCUCGAUGCUUCUGAAAGUUAGAGUGUCCCCAGCAAAGAUUAGCUUUACCGUUUCUAUUUGCCUGCAUAGUUCUAACCAAUGGGAAAGUUUUUCAUGUUUGGGAGAUCACGGAAGUCACACUUUUCCCACUGAUUUUUGUUUCUCUCCCCAUGUCCACUUAAACAGUGUUAUUGAGGGGCGCCUAAGGGGCUUGGUCGGUUAAGUGCCCAACUUCGGCUCAGGUCAUGGUCUCACGGUUUGUGAGUUCGAACCCCACGUCAGGCUCUGUGCUGACAGCCUAGAGCCUGGAGCCUGCUUCGGAUAUGUCUGUCUGUCUCUCUGCCCCUUUCCUGCUCACGCUCUCUCUGUC